RNAcentral lists this ribosomal RNA (252 nucleotides) under uncultured prokaryote. RNAcentral describes it as "partial 16S rRNA". It matches the Rfam family "Archaeal small subunit ribosomal RNA", at positions 475 to 726 of the family's 1478-position model. The record is from RNAcentral.
ACCGGCGGCUCGAGUGGUGGCCACUAUUACUGGGCUUAAAGCGUUCGUAGCUGGCUUGUUAAGUCUCUGGGGAAAUCUUCCGGCUCAACCGGAAGGCGUCUCAGGGAUACUGGCAGGCUAGGGACCGGAAGAGGUGAGAGGUACUCCAGGGGUAGGAGUGAAAUCGUGUAAUCCGUGGGGGACGACCUGUGGCGAAGGCGUCUCCCCAGAACGGCUCCGACAUUGAGGAGCGAAAGCUGGGGGAGCAAACAG